This 23-nucleotide non-coding RNA is filed under the name Cricetulus griseus (Chinese hamster). The record is from RNAcentral. Lineage: Eukaryota; Metazoa; Chordata; Mammalia; Rodentia; Cricetidae.
GAUAGAUCGUAGGAUAGCGUAGG